Molecule: long non-coding RNA, 1057 nt
Filed under: Eucalyptus grandis
Lineage: Eukaryota; Viridiplantae; Streptophyta; Magnoliopsida; Myrtales; Myrtaceae
Description: long non-coding RNA (EGRA_LNC006926)
Source: RNAcentral
UAAAGGGUUUCUCUACACCUAAACAAUUAUGCUACAUGUAUCUUGAACACCUCAAGCUAGAAAAUAAACCCGGGACAUGCUCAGCUUAGAUGACGAUUCAGCAACAUAUUAGAAGGGGUAUCUAAUUUGAUGAGAGCAGAGCAAACCAACGCACUAAAGGAACGAGGGUUCUUGGCCAUCAAAGGAUGGAUCAGGAGCUACGUCGCCAGCUCAACAUACCAAGCAGUAAUGUACAUGUAACACUACACAAUUCUCAAAUCAAUGCUAAUGUCUCUGGGGCAAAUUGUCGAAUAGGUGGUGAAUGCGAACUUGAGAGGUUUGGUAGUUCAGUAGAUAGAUACAUUCAAUGAAUCGGCAUGACGUGAGAUGGUUAUCCAAAUGAAUCAACAAAUUCGAAGGCAAACAAAGAACGAUCCAACAUUAGAGUGCUCUCAAUCGAAGAGAAACAAAACAUCCUAGGAUGAUUACUUGGGAUCGGCUACAGUGACGCAUGACUUGAAUCGCAGGGGCGGAAGAGAGCCGUGACAAAGUGGAGAACGCACUCACUGGAAAUGAUGGCGCCGAUCGGGGGUAGGAUGGUCGUCGACGUGGAGCGGCGCAAUCAAUGAGGGCCUAGGGUUGAGGACGUAGUUGGAGUCGACGGCAGCAAGCAAAUGGAGUGGACGCUUGCGAGCGGACAAAGUGGAUGCUGCCGAGAGGAGUCAAUGACUGCAAGGAGGACGAAGUCAGAGUCGACGACGAGGUGAGCGAUGAUGUGACCGACGAGAGGAUGGGGUUGGAGUCGACGGGGCUAGGGAGGAUGGAGUCAUAAUUGAUGGUGAGAUGAGCAAUGAUCUAACCGACAAGAGGACGGUGAUGGCAGGGAGGGCCGCGUGUUCUGAUCUCGGAGACGAACCCAAGAUGGGUUCGAUGAGAUCAAAUCCAGCGAAGUCGUUGACUACAAGGAGGAUGAAGUUAGAGUCGACGGCGAGGUGAGCGAUGAUGUCACCAGCGAGAGGACAGAGUUGGAGUCGAUGGUAAGGAUGGACAGAUUCGGAGUCGACGGUGCUAGGGUUUU